GGCCUGGCCGUGCGGUCCGCCUUCUGGGUGAGUACUGUCUUCGCGCCGGGUCUCUUUUUCUGGUGAGCUAGUGUGUCCUUUACUGGGCGCGUUAGGGAACCAGGACUAUUACCUUGAAAAAAUUAGAGUGUUUAAAGCGGGCAUUUGCUUGAAUACAUUAGCAUGGAAUAAUGAAAUAGGACGGACGGUUCUAUUUUGUUGGUUAUGGGACCACCGUAAUGAUUAAGGGAUAGUUGGGCAACUCCCGU
RNAcentral lists this ribosomal RNA (248 nucleotides) under uncultured Ambispora. RNAcentral describes it as "partial small subunit ribosomal RNA". The stretch from base 92 to 248 matches the Rfam family "Eukaryotic small subunit ribosomal RNA", at positions 735 to 895 of the family's 1831-position model. The record is from RNAcentral. Lineage: Eukaryota; Fungi; Glomeromycota; Glomeromycetes; Archaeosporales; Ambisporaceae.